GAUGAACGCUGGCGGCGUGCUUAACACAUGCAAGUCGAACGGAAAGGCUCCUGCUUGCAGGGGUACUCGAGUGGCGAACGGGUGAGUAACGCGUGGGUGAUCUGCCCUGCACUUCGGGAUAAGCCUGGGAAACUGGGUCUAAUACCGGAUAGGACCACAUUUUGGAUGGUGUGGUGGAAAGUUUUUCGGUGUGGGAUGAGCUCGCGGCCUAUCAGCUUGUUGGUGGGGUAAUGGCCUACCAAGGCGUCGACGGGUAGCCGGCCUGAGAGGGUGUACGGCCACAUUGGGACUGAGAUACGGCCCAGACUCCUACGGGAGGCAGCAGUGGGGAAUAUUGCACAAUGGGCGCAAGCCUGAUGCAGCGACGCCGCGUGGGGGAUGACGGCCUUCGGGUUGUAAACUCCUUUCGCUAGAGACGAAGCGCAAGUGACGGUACCUGGAGAAGAAGCACCGGCUAACUACGUG
RNAcentral lists this ribosomal RNA (465 nucleotides) under uncultured bacterium. RNAcentral describes it as "partial 16S ribosomal RNA". It matches the Rfam family "Bacterial small subunit ribosomal RNA", at positions 28 to 507 of the family's 1533-position model. The record is from RNAcentral.